This 504-nucleotide ribosomal RNA is filed under the name uncultured bacterium. RNAcentral's name for it is "partial 16S ribosomal RNA". It matches the Rfam family "Bacterial small subunit ribosomal RNA", at positions 28 to 506 of the family's 1533-position model. The record is from RNAcentral.
GACGAACGCUGGCGGCGUGCCUAAUACAUGCAAGUAGAACGCACAGUUUAUACCGUAGCUUGCUACACCAUAGACUGUGAGUUGCGAACGGGUGAGUAACGCGUAGGUAACCUGCCUGGUAGCGGGGGAUAACUAUUGGAAACGAUAGCUAAUACCGCAUAAUAUUAAUUAUUGCAUGAUAAUUAAUUGAAAGGUGCAAUUGCACCACUACCAGAUGGACCUGCGUUGUAUUAGCUAGUAGGUGAGGUAACGGCUCACCUAGGCGACGAUACAUAGCCGACCUGAGAGGGUGAUCGGCCACACUGGAACUGAGACACGGCCCAGACUCCUACGGGAGGCAGCAGUAGGGAAUCUUCGGCAAUGGACGAAAGUCUGACCGAGCAACGCCGCGUGAGUGAAGAAGGUUUUCGGAUCGUAAAGCUCUGUUGUAAGAGAAGAACGGGUGUGAGAGUGGAAAGUUCACACUGGGACGGGAUCUUACCAGAAAGGGACGGCAAACUACGG